Molecule: long non-coding RNA, 10037 nt
Filed under: Sarcophilus harrisii (Tasmanian devil)
Lineage: Eukaryota; Metazoa; Chordata; Mammalia; Dasyuromorphia; Dasyuridae
Description: lncRNA (ENSSHAG00000024822.1)
Source: RNAcentral
GUAAGAGAGAGGCCCUGGCCCGGCCUGGGCGCAUGCACGCGUAGCCGGGGGCCUGCAGCCGGGGGUCUACUGCCCUGGGGUUAGUGCCCCCCGCGGCGCCCCUCCCCCCAGCUCUGCCCCAGCCCCCUCCGCGUAGCAGGGAGAGGGCUCCCCGCGCCCCCCCCGCCCCCCGCGGCGUGGUCAGUGGGCACGGCUGCUGGCGCGCGGGGGAUCUCGGGGCAGGUGCAGGCGCAGAAUCAGCCCCCUGCGCCAGGAGCCGAGCAUCCCCCACGCGGGACCCCCCACCCUCUCCUGUCCUCCCCUGCAGUGGGCGUGGUGCCCCCUUUGCUGCAGAACAGGGCCCUGGGUACAGGAGAACCAAUGGUGGAAGGCCUAAGGAGGACCCUGGGGGGAAGAAGGGAAAAGGAAGUGGGGAGGGGGCUGCAGAGUGUGAAGGGGCUCCGGAGAGGCGGACAGGUGGUCGCAAGAGAGUGCGCUUGCAUGCGAAGGGCUAGGCUGGUGGGGUUCCCGCUUCUCACCCCCUUGCAGGGGUAGAUAGAUGUGGUAGCUAGAGAGGAGCCUGGAGGGAGGCAAGUGCGGCCACAUGUGUGGGGGGCUGCAUCUGCAUCUGCAUCGCCCAGCCAACCUCCCUCUCUCCCUGCCACGCAGGGCGUGGCCCCGGGACCCACCCUGGGCAGGUGCGGCAGCUCCUCCCCUCCUCUCCUCCCCCGUCUCCUGGAGCCCCCCAUCCAGGGUUGCCCUGCGGAAGAGGAAUAGGGGAGGGGGCUUUUCUCGUUCUCCCCCUCCCUCUCCAGAGGAGGAGGCGUGGUCACUGCACUGCUUGGCACAUGAGAGUGGGGGACAUCUGGCCCAGCCAAGUCCUCUGCAGCACUUGUUCCUGAAACAAACAUGUUCUGGUGUCUCCGUGUGCCUGGGUCUGCUUGACUGUUUCACCCCCUCCCCCAAACUACCCUGGAUGGGCACUGGGACCCAGACAGUAUGAAUCUCUGCUCUGGGCCCUACUGGAAGGCCGAAGACCCCGUGCGUGUGAAUUGGACCGGACACAAGAGAGCAAGGCAGCCACCUUCACCCCUGGCCGGGGGCUGGAGGAGGCCUGGAAGACCUCAGCCAGGCCUUCCGAAGAACUUUCCUCAGGAACAUAUGACUCAGCAGUUGGAUUCCCAGGGGGACAGAGGCCCCGAAGUUCUCCCUGCUAUGGUUGGAGUCCACACCUCUGGAACUUGGCACCUGAUCUUGGAAGGCCAGAGGGUUGGAUGGAGAGCCGGGACUGCGCAGGAGGCGACAGGCAGUUGUGACGGGCUCCCAGACUUGGUGGUGUGUACCCCUUCUUCCCCCACGUAUGUAUAUUCUGGGAUCGGGGGCGAUUCUUCUGUGGAGGGGGGUGCUUUCUCUCCUCAUCGCUUUUUUUUUUUUUUUUGGCUGUUUCCCUUUAAUUUUUCCACUUUAAUUUCCAUUCUCCUUAGGGUGAGUUAGUCCAAACUGACAUGGGUCAUGAGGAAGGAAACAGACUCCCCCUCCCCCCUCCAGGUUCCACUUCCAUCCACACCUUGAGCCCAGCAGGAGGUCCCUUUCUUUAGGAUGGACAGAUGACUCACCCUCUCUUUGGGUAUCUGUCUGUCAAUCAACAGAGUUGUGAUGCAGAAACGUUAGUGGGGGGGCCAGGGAAAGAAAAGGUGAAGGGACAACUUGGUUGGGGGCUCCCUGGCCCAAGGUCUGGCCAUGGGAGCGAGCGUCAGGGUCUGGGUGGAGCGGGAAGGGGGGUGGGACCCGGGCGCCCGGGUGGGGGCUGAGACUGUGGCAGGUUUGUCACUGCGUAGUUGGGGGAACUAAGUGGCGAGUGGUGACGCAGUCAUGGGCACAUCUGAGGGGGGCAGGGGAUCGAGGCUCCCCGAGUCUGCCGAGCCCCGCUGAGAGGGUUAAGGAUGAGCCGAGAAGGGGAAGCCAGCAUUUAGAGAUUAAAUGUCAUCCUUCUGGCGUUGCAAAGUUGUUUACCUUGCAUUCUCUGUGUCUCCAUGUUGGCAUCUCUCCAGUUCCCAUGUGAUGGCCUUCCCUGUACUGCUGCAUCAUUAACUAAGUGGCAGGGCUGGCCCUUCAUUGGCCAGGGGAGGGCUCAGGCUCCAGACACUUCCUCCCAUUGGUGAGAAGGGUGAUGGCAGGUGAAAAGCUCUUUUGGAUUGGCCGAGAACUGGGUAUCAAAUCUGAAUUUCCAUUUCACUGGAGAAAAAAAGGGGGGUAGUGUGGCGAUGAUGGUUGGAGCGUGGAGGGGGGCACCGGGCAGUUCGGAUCUCUGAAAGCUCUUCAGGGGCGUGUGUGUGUGCAACAGUGCCCAGGGUGCUUGGAGGCGGAAGCUCCUGGGCAUCCGAAGGACCCACAGGGCCAGCUUGAUUGCAUUUGCUCCUUAGGUGUAAGAAGAUCUUGCAGCUGUACAAACUUUUUUUUAAAUGGGUUUUUUUUUCUGGAGGGGGAGAAGAGUUGAUUUGAGAGGCAUGAGGGAUGGCAGAAGAGUUGACAGCCUCAGAAGAAAAGCUGCCUGGGCUUAUUUGAUUUCAAAAGAGGGAGUUUCCAGCUGUCACUGGCCGCACCUUGGUGUUGCAGCAAAUAACUCCCAACUCUCCUGGAAAUGCGUGGGCAAGGUAGGGCUGCGGCUGCUGCCUCCCGGGGCGGCCUCCAGACUGCUCCCCGGGGACCCGAGGUUUGCACUGACGUCCGGAGGUAGCCAUAGGUCCUCAGAGGCCAGCCUCGCGUCGGGGAGGACUGGCCUUCCUCACGUCAUCCUCAGGUGGAUGGGUGCUGGGGGAGAGGAAUGCCAUGAGGAAUGGCCCCGGAUGUUAGCCCCUGCGCUGGGUGGGCUUUCUCUAAGAGCUGAUGGAAGAAAGAGCUUCCUGACCUGCAUCGAAGGAGAGGAGAAUUGGGAGAGAGAAACUGGGGCAGCAGCUGCUGGGGGGAAUCUGAAAAAGAAAUGUUUAUCGAGAUCGUCAUCCUUCCCUUAAAUGGAGGUCCCAAGUUUGCCGUAGAUGUUCAGGUAAGAAAUAGAUAGGCCCCUUGAGCUCAGCUAUCCUCCCCCCCCCACCUCCCGAGUGGGUCAUGAAAGCUCCGUUGUGCCCCGGCCGUCCACCCCAGCGCCGCAGUGCACCCUGGAGUUUUGGCCGGCGGCUCGUGCCCCCCCAUUUCUUAUGUAACCGUGUUAUGUGCCUUCUCUCGUCCUCUGGCACGGCCCUCGCCCCGUUGGGGUGCAGAAAGCCCAGGAGGGAGGUCCUGGCUGGGGGAGAAAUUAGUGAACAAGGCUGCUCACCAGCCCCUGAGUGGUUGCGCAGUUGGCAAUACGGGCUGGGCGUGAGGGCAGAUUCCACCCUGUCCCUGCCUUGUCACCAGUGGUUUCCUGGGAACAUCUGCCUUGGAGAGAGAACGGUCCCUUUCAACUUCCUUCUGUAACUCAGCUCAUUUUGGAGGGGGGGAGAGCUUUCCAAAGGAGAAGGUAUGAUGGCUAACAAAGUAAGAUUUUAAAAAAAAAUUUUUUUUUAAGCAAAGAUGGAGGUCGGAUGGGAUGGCGUAGUUCUUGUGACUUUCUCGGGUCAUCCCGAUCCCGGUUGUUUUUCUUGUCCUUUUUUAAUUGUUUGCCCCUGGACAGUGGUCUUGAAUCCAGAUGCUUUCCUGUUGCUUGUCUUGGGGAGGUGUCCAUCAGUCCCUGCCAUGGUGGAGUGGGCUUCUGCGGCCCUACUGCGCCAAUUGCGCAGAACGGGCGGGGGCCGAUGCGGGGAGGGGGGAGGAGAUAGAGAACCCGGCUACUGCAGAAGCAGCAGAGGACGUAGUGGAGGUUGCGGCAGUGAGAGGAGGAGGUUCUCGGAGCCGGGAAGGGCUUGUUGUGCCCACCCUUACCCCGAGACCCAGACUUUGGGAAACAUGAUUAUUGUUCUUGGGACUUAUGGCUGUGUUGGGCAGGGCCCUCGCCAGUCAGAAAGUGUUUGGAGGCACAGACUGCAACGAUCCCCUCCUCGGAGAAAGUCCUGACGCACUUUGGGGUGGGGUGGCUGACGUAGCCCAGAACGUGAGAAGCAUCGGCCGUGGGGCCCGUGUUCCCGGCAGCCCAUUCUUCGACCACCGGCUGUGACGGGACGUGAAUCAGGUUUUGCUGCUUUCCAUGGCGUUUUGUGUAUGUCGAGAAUCCCGGGGGGGAUUUGAAGGUCACCCCUUCGUUUUACAGGUGAGGAAACUGAGGUUUGGGGAGGCUGUAAUUACGUAGAUAGUAGUAAAUACCAAGCCCAGGUAUCCAGCUGGCUUCUUCCGACUCUCUACUAUGUCACGUAGACUAUAUAACACAGGAUACCCCUUGAUUCUUUCCUUUACAUCCUUAUUUACAUAUCCCAUGUAUACCAGCCCUAAUUGGAAAAUUGGGAGAGUCAUUUAGGAGUGGGGAGUAAGGAACUAGAAGGAAGGGGUAUUUGUAAUGCAAGGAUUGAUGAGUUGAUUCUUCUCGUGGGUACCCCUUCCUGAGAUCGCCCAUGGUUUGCUACAUCAUCUCCUCCUCCUUCCGUGCAAAAUGUGCCGUCGUCCCUGAAAUUUGUCAUCCUUGCUCCCCGAAGAACCUCCAGGGGGCCACCUCUCUCCCUGCUCCUUGGCUCACAGCUUGGAGGACCGGCCCCCAGGUGGCCUCUUUUGGUAUUGUGGCCGCCUCAUGAUCCUUUCCCCCACCUCUCCUCCUCCUCCUCCUCUCAAGAGACAGUGGAUGAGAUCCUAGGGCCUCAGAAGCCUGUGACCAUAGAGCCUCAGCUCUGGCCGAACCUGCUAAGAGCAGUUGGUCUCAAUGAUGAGGUGCCCAUCACCAGGGGAUGGAGAGCCACAGGAGAAGUGGGGGACCAUGUCCUAGGGGCCGAUACCUGUGUCAGUGGAGGGACUAGUCACCCAUGUGGAAGGAUGGCUUCUUAGUGAUGUUAAACUAAGAUGGAUGACCAAGGAUUGAUACCUGUGUCAGUGGAGGGAAUAGCCGUCCACUUAGAAGGACAACUUUUUGAUCAUGUUAAACUAAGGUGGAGAACCAAGGAUGGUCCAGUUUAGGAGAACAUUGUCUAGGGGCUAAUCUUGUGUCAGUGGAAGGAGUAGCUGCCCAGAUGGAAGGAUGGCUUCUUAGUGACGUUAAACUAAGGUGGAUGACCAAGGAUGGUCCAGUUUAGGAGUUCAUUUCCUAAGGACUGAUACCUAUGUCGGUGGAGGGAGUAGCUGCCCAGAUGGAAGGAUGGCUUCUUAGUGACAUCAAACUAAGGUGGAUGACCAAGGAUGGUCCAGGGUAGGAGACCAUUGCCUAGGGGCUGAUCCUGUGUCAGUGGAGGGAGUAGCUGCCCAGAUGGAAGGAUGGCUUCUUGGUAAUGUUACACUAAGGUGGAUGACCAAGGAUGGGUCAGUUUGGGAGACCAUUUCCUAAGGGCUGAUACCCGAAUCAAUGGAGAGACUAGGCACCCACAUGGAAGGAAGGCUUCUUGAUCAUGUUAAACUAAAGUUGAUGACCAAAGAUUAUUCAGUUUCCCUUGAGACUCUCCCUUUAGAGAGCACAUUAAUAUCUCAAAAUUCCAAGUCUUCACAUGCCCUCUUCUGCUUUAUUUGUUCAUUUAACUGACAUACUAAAUAACCUGCUGUGUGCAAGACACUGGGGAAGGUAUUACAUAUUGCCUUUGAUCUGGAGGAGUUCACAAUCCAGUUGGGUGGGAGAAAAAGGGAUGGACUGGGACCCUCUGGUUUCAUUGGUAUAGGGAACGCCCAGUGAGGAAUCUCUUUUUUUCCAAAGAUUACCCAUCAGCGCCUGCUUUGCCACUUUGAGAGCUGCCUGGAGCUCCGAGGUCAGUGACUUGUAUCGGAUCGCACCAUCAGGAUGUGCCAGGGAUGCAGGAUUCUCUCCUCUCAGAGGGCUCAUCAGAAUGCCCAUGAUGGAUGCUGAGCCACAGAAACAUUGUUGGAGAACCUAGAACCUCCCUGGUAAGGGGAAGCCACCUAUGAGGGACUGGGUUGGUCUCGCAUGAUUCUAGCAGCAGCACCAGAACAACAACAACAAUAACUAGCAUUUGCACAGUGCUUUAAGGUUUACAGUGCAUUUUAGCCACAUUAUCUCAUUUGAUUUCAUUAGAGGUGGGCCUUCUGUGGUUUUUGGCUGUCUGUGGUCCAUGUGCUUGCCAGCUUCUUUAAGGCCAUCAAAAAUAAACCUUCACUUUUUAUCAUCCCUGGUGUGGGCUAGGUUUGCUAUUGUACCGUUACAGGGUUCAGUACAUGGAAAAGUUCUUGACCCCUGAUCCCUUUGGCUUUCAGAAGCUUUUCACUUUUCUUGCUUUAGAGUAAACUAGAUGCACAUCACCCAGCCUGGGGGAGAGGGGGCAGGAGAGUGUUGUCCACCAUGGUCUUUAAGAUCCUGUUUAUCCUUAUUGUCUUAGGCUGUGAUAGAGUUUGUUAAUCCAAGCUAAUUGGUCUUACAAGCUUCUUGCCAAGUUCUCGUAUCAUGCUGUAGUCUUGCUGGGAACUGUGAUCUGAUGUGUCUGUAUCUAAUGGGGCUGUCUCUUUCUCCCUCCCAAAGGGAAUCCUGUGGACCCUCAUAGAUGGUAUUAUCAGGGAGCCAGUACCUGAGAAGGAAUGGCAGCCUUUAUUUUGGUUGGAUGUGUGUGGUGGGGACCUCAUGUCUUAUGACAGAUGCUGAUGUAGUAAGGGAAUCAGUGGUUCCCUUUGGGAGGGAAUGGGAUUUUUUCUUUUGGCUCAAACAGGAGAGAAAAUACCCCACAGGUACCUUGUGACUUUGACUGUGAUUGGUGUUCAUCUACAAAGCCAGUUAAGAUAGCAUGUCUCUGAGGCUCUGAUCUUGGGGGCCCAGGAUGUUGUGGGGCUCAGAAGACAGCUGGAGAGAGGGCUUGAGUGGCCAGGAUGGGAACAAAGGCCUGGCUGUGCUUCUUGGGGAUCCCAGCUUCUCCCACUUUGACCCACUGGGUCCCCUUGCUCUCCUCCUCCCCCCCCUUUUUUUCAUUUCUAUGUCUACCCCUCUUAGGAUCAGCAUGGAAGGGUCUGAGCACAGAAGCCUCUGAAUUGGAGAUCAGAGUAGCCUUCGAUAAAAGCCCUGGUCUUCCUCCGCUUGUUUUUGAAUUUCUGAAACUAGUUUUUCCAGAAGAGAGCAGAAGGACAGCAGCACACGGUUCCAAGGGAGUUGGAUGCUUGGACGAGCAUGUCCUGCUCUGGGUUUAGAUGGGGUGGGCCUUCUGUUGUCCCCUUUUAUUAAUCUCCUGCCCAACUGUCCCCAUCCUCAUCCUCCAGCUGAGCUGCUUGGCCCAAGGACUCGUAUGUCUGUGAUAGAGGGAACUUUCCUAAUGUGGCGUGAGCUGUCUGGUGGGUCAUUGGGCUGCUUAUUAGGAAACUAGCCCUGGGGCCUUCACCCCUUGCAUUCCUCCCAGAUGAGUGAAGUCUGGUUCCGUUUUCCCCUCCUUCCCCAUCCUGACCAGUUAGCUCAUUUAGUGGGAAAUUCCCCAGUGGCUUUCAGUGAGAGAUAUUCCAGUAAAGGGGGGGGGGGGACAGUAUGGGACACUAGGAAAAAGUCACUGAUGGUGAGAAAUGAAAAUGAGGGAAGAGCGAGAGAGAGCAAGUUUUAAAAAUUUUAAAGGAAAAAUUAAAAAAUCAUCCUUAUUUUGGUCAGAUGCCUCCCACCCUGAUGUAUCUGAUUUUGAGAAAGAUCCUGCUCAGGCCCAGUAUCUCAUCUGUAAAAUGAGAGGGUUGGACUAGCUGGAGUCCCUUCCCUCUAGAUCUGUGGCCCCCCAACACCAUAAUGAAUAAUUGCCCUCCUUUCUCUCCCCUGCUUUUGUGGACGAGGUCAGGAAGGCUGUUGAGGUGGCUAGUGGGAUUGACCGAAGGGGGUCUGAAGGAGGGAAAAGACCCCGCUGCAAUCUCUUCCUGUCAUGUCCGGGAAUAGGCAGGGUGGGGAGAUGUAGGAGGCGUUGCUGGGUGUGUCGGUUUGUAACUAUGGCUAUAAUGGGAAGAGGGUGAUUGGAGGAAGGUAACUGGAGGACUCUGAAUUCUCCUGAGUGACUGAAAACCACCCCACCCCAUCCCUUUUCCCCAAAGUCAGGACUUCAGGCUAGUUUUAACAGCUCAGUGACCCCCAGAUAAAGUCCACUUGGGGAGAUGGGCACGAAGGGAUGCAGUGCUAGGGGCACAGCAUCCUCCAGUGAUGCUUUUGGCUGGUUCUCUGCCUUCAAAGAGAAUGACCUUUUGUAGGGCUGCAGCCUAGCUGAGGGUCUGGGGUCUGUAGAUUAAGUUCUGGGAAUGAGUGACCAGGCCCUGGGUUUCUGUCCCUAAAUUGUUGGGUUACUGACUGAGUCACCCUGACUUUCAAGACCCUGGCUGCCCUCUUUGAAAAAAAAAAAUUGAACCCUGGCCAGCAUGCUGAUUACAAAACGUUUCCGAGCAGUAACAAUAAUAGCAACAAUAAUAAAAAUAAUGACAAUUGGCAGAGCUGGAGGUGGAGUUUUAGUGACAGUUGAGAAAGCAGCUCUUUUAAGCACUGGCCACGUCACCAGGAAAUAAAUCUCUGUCCCACUAAUAAAUCACUGUAAUGUACUUGGCCAAUAGGACCUGUUUUAAUUAGCCACACCAAAUCCGUCUACGUCAAGAAAAUAAUCAUGCCUUGUAUUUUGAUAGUGCUUUUGGAUAACGUGAAACGAGAGUCAGAGGACCGAGUCCUUGAUCCGAUGGCUCCCCCCCCCCCCCCCCCCCGAGCACUCCCCGGCUUCUGUUGGCAGAUCUGGCCCAACUUUGCCUCUGCUCUGGAACAUUUUACUCUCUGUAGCCCAUCGGAAACCUUAGUUUUUGUGGGAUCUGAACCCUGUGUGGGGCUUUGAGACCCUCUCAGGAGGAUGAUUAGGAAUAAAUUUUAGAAGCCCUGCUUUCUAUAUUCAUUCUUUUUAUUCUUUUCUUUAUCCCUCCUUCCUCCUCUACCCCUCCCUCCCUCCUUCUUUACCUAACACACAUACAGACUUGGCAGAUAGGAGUUCCUCCUAGAUCUAGGUGGUUGUGACUUUCUGGAAUGAAAUUGUUUCUGUGAAUAACUCGGCCUUAGCCAGCAACACGCAAACGUGGAAGCCGACCAGGCCCCAGAAGAUGUCUCCAGUGGGGCCUGCCCUUGGCUAGGUAGGAGUCGGGAAAGUGAGCUUUUUUCAGCUAUCUAGGUUAUGGGCAGCUGGCUGUUCCUGAGGGCAGGACCUUAGCCCUGGCGAUGUGGGGAGGGGGUGCCGUUGUCUCUGGUACCCCCCAGAGCUUCCUCUAAUCCUGCCCCUGUCACCCCACUUUGUCCUCAUCUCCCUCCACACCCCACCUCCAAACUGAUGACUCCCUCUUCCCCCACCUUUGCUAUGGGAUCCCAGAGUCUGGGGCUUCCUUGCAUCGCAGCAUUAUUGGGAAACACUGAUAAGAGCCUCAUUAACUAGGAACGGCCCCAAAAAGUCUGGCUCUUUCUUUUUGCCCUUUUCACCCUGAAAACCCAGAGCCUUGGAGAUGUAGUUUGGAUUUUCUCUGGGGUCUGGCCGAGGCCUUACAGAUCCACAAGUUGCUAGUUAGUUGAGGGAUGGAGGGAGGAAGAUGGGGUCCAAGUCUGAGGUUUGGCUUGGAGGAGGAGGGAACGUCCGGUCUAGUGGGGACUUCAUUGAUCAGCCCCAUCUUGGUUAAUCACGGUUCUGGGGAACCUCAGGCUGCAAGAGGCCAGGGCAGAGGUCACUAUGACGAGCAGAGCCUGGGUCCAGCGGCAACGGUGGGGCAACUCUGUCCGGGUGACCCCUUCCUCCCUCCUCCUGGGAUUCUGAAACAGUCAGCGGCCACUUCUAGCCAUUCGCAUGCUGGUGACUGUGAGGUCCUCCAUUAUACUUUCCUUUUCUUGGGCUUUGGGAAUCUGCGGCUAAUGAAGUUUGGGCUUAGUUGGGUUUCCUCCUGGCAGAGUUGUGCAUCCUGUGCAGAUAACAUGGGGGGGGGGGGAACAAAGCAAACGUAGUAAGGAGGUAGAGGAGGUGAAUCUGGGAUGUCAGCCACCC